ACAGUGGACGCGAGCAUCUUUGUGGCUCAAGUUUUUAAGGGCACACGGUGGAUGCCUUGGCACCAGGAACCGAAGAAGGACGUAGGAAUCUGCGAUAAGCCUCGGGGAGUCGAUAACCAGACUGUGAUCCGAGGAUUUCCGAAUGGGGAAACCCGGCUGGAGGCAAGUCCAGUCACUCCCGCCUGAACACAUAGGGCGGGUAGAGGGAACGUGGGGAAGUGAAACAUCUCAGUACCCACAGGAAGAGAAAGCAACCGCGAUUCCGUGAGUAGUGGCGAGCGAAAGCGGAAGAGGCUAAACCUCAGUUGUGUGAUACCUGUCAGGGGUUGCAGCUGGGGGGUCGUGGGACUUUUCGGUCAGUGCUGACACGCUGGCAUGGAGUCAGAAAUGCGCGUUGUAGUCGAAGGGCAUUGAAAGGCCCGGCACAGAGGGUGCUACCCCCGUAGACGAAACGAUGCGCACUCCAGAGAAGUAUCCCAAGUAGCACGGGGCCCGAGAAAUCCCGUGUGAAUCUGGCGGGACCACCCGCUAAGCCUAAAUAUUCCCUGGUGACCGAUAGCGGACAAGUACCGUGAGGGAAAGGUGAAAAGUACCCCGGGAGGGGAGUGAAAUAGAUCCUGAAACCGUGUGCCUACAAUCCGUCGGAGCCUCCUUGUGGGGUGACGGCGUGCCUUUUGAAGAAUGAGCCUGCGAGUUAGUGCUCAGUGGCGAGGUUAACCCGUGUGGGGAAGCCGUAGCGAAAGCGAGUCCGAAUAGGGCGUUUUAGUCGCUGGGUCUAGACCCGAAGCGGAGUGAUCUACCCAUGGCCAGGUUGAAGCGACGGUAAGACGUCGUGGAGGACCGAACCCACUUAGGUUGAAAACUGAGGGGAUGAGCUGUGGGUAGGGGUGAAAGGCCAAUCAAACUCCGUGAUAGCUGGUUCUCCCCGA
Molecule: ribosomal RNA, 929 nt
Filed under: Salmonella enterica
Lineage: Bacteria; Pseudomonadati; Pseudomonadota; Gammaproteobacteria; Enterobacterales; Enterobacteriaceae
Description: partial 23S ribosomal RNA
Rfam family: Bacterial large subunit ribosomal RNA
Source: RNAcentral